This 29-nucleotide non-coding RNA is filed under the name Rattus norvegicus (Norway rat). The record is from RNAcentral. Lineage: Eukaryota; Metazoa; Chordata; Mammalia; Rodentia; Muridae.
UUGCCAACAGUCAUUGAAGGUUUGCCAAC